UCUCAAUUCUCAGACUUGUCAGAGGUUUGACUCCCCUAGAGGGUGUGUGCAACGCAGCAGCACCCAGACUUUUUGGUCUGUGGAAUUUUUUAUUUACAGAGCAUCUCAAUAGGACGAUUCUGUGAAACUGAUUUUGAAUAAGGCUCGCAUGAGGGCGAGCACUCUGGCCGUGGAGUUAAAGAAAACAUAGGCUCUAAUUUAUAUUUGGACCUCACUUGUGUGUUGAACUUGGUCUCUUAACUAUAAAUUCUUUGAUUCUCAUCCAUAUGGCAGUUCCCUAGGAUAACACAUGCACACGGACACACCCCUGCUGAGAAACCCAGGUAAAUCUACAGGCGGAAGCUCUUCCUUGAUGUCCAGCUCUCAUCCUCUGUGUUGGACAUCACGCAGAGGCUCCAUAAAUGGGAUUUCACUGCGGGGGUGGAGGGGGAGAGACAAUUAAAAGGAGUUGUGACAUGUUUAAUUAUUACCACGAAUGCCCUGGUCCUGCGUGAACUGGUCAGAUGGCCUGUUUGUUCUCAGCACUUCCCUUUACAGAUUAUUCUGAGCAUAACUUUGUCUUUGCUUUUUGUUUGUUUUAGCCAAAGGCCCAGACAUUCGUCUUUCUUCACCAUUUUCAGUGAUGCGUGCCUGUUGCCUGUUUAUUUUUCUAGCUGUAGGAAGCUAAAGUCUCAUCUAUUAAAAUAUCAUGUUACAUUUUAUGUCCUAAAUUGAGCUCCUAUUAGAUUUCGGUUUAAACAUAGACUCUGAGGUUAGGAGAAGUAGAAAGUACAGGUUGUAAGUCAUGUUUGGAGAAUUUAAGAUAUCCUUCUCCUGACCUUUUGGGAGCACACAUUCUCCUGGGUUCUGUCCAGCUUUACUCAGAACUCCAUUGCCUACUGAUGUCUCCUCUCUGCUUUAUCCCUGUUCUAGUUAUCUAUUUCUGGAAAGUAAUCUCACAGUGUUGCGAGUUAGGAAUGGAGCCUGGCACAGCUGGGUGAUCUCUUCUGUUCCAGAUGGCACUGACAGAGGUCACUCAGUGACACUCAGCUGACAGAGGGGCUGGUCUCUGGUCUGCGCUGGUUUGGUGCUGCACAAGGGUGGGUGGAAGGUGGACCAGCUGGUUCUGUGAGCUGGAGCACCUCCAUGUGGCUUUGCAGCACGGCAGCCUCAAGGUCGUAGGACUUCAUACCUGGUUGGUUCACGGCGGCCGGAGUGAGAGUUCCAGCAAACCAGGUGGAAGCUUGCAUGGUAUGAUCUAGCCUCUAAUGUCCAAUGGUGUCCCUUCCGCCAUAUUCUAUUGGUUGGAGCACUCACAAACCCACUCAGAUUCAGAGGGAGGGACACAGACCCCCUCUCUCAAUGAGAAAGAUGGAAAAGAACCUGUGGCCCUGUCUGGACACAUGUUGGAUUUUUUUGUAGGCUUUGGUCCUAAGCCCUCCUCUCCAUGUACACACUUACCCCAGGUGAUGUCAUUUAGACCCAUGGUUUUAAAAUAGCAUCUUGAUGCUGUGACUCCCAAAUAUAUAUACAUCUAGAUCGGACCUUUCCAAAAGGUUCAGAUUCUAAUGUUCUGCUGCCUACCUGAUAUUCCCACCUGAUUCACAGGCAUCUCAAACUCAGUAUGGUCAAGCAGAGCUCUUUUUUUUUCCCCCCAGAGCUCUUGAUUUAUACUCUGCAGACUGGUUCCAUGCCGAGUUUUCUCCAUCUCAGGAAAUGCCACCAGCAUCCACCCAGUAAGUCAAACAUUUCAUCCCUCUCCUCUCAACUAUGCAUCCAGUCCAUAAGCAAGUCUUGGCAACUCUCCCCCGCCAAAAUAUAACUCAGACCCACCUAUUUCUCUCCAUAUUCAUUUCCAAGUCUAUGCCACCAUCAUCUUUCCCAUGGACUUCCUAAAGUAGCUCCUGGAAUAAUUUUCCAAGGUCCCCAUCUACAACCCUCUCCAGUCUGUUCUCCACAGCUACAAGUGAUCUUUCAAGUGUAAACUAGAUGACGCAGGGCCCCACGUUAAACCCUCAGGUGAGAUUCUGUUGCUCUUUGAAGGAAACCGGAGCUCUGUUGUGGCCUCUAAGGCCUUACAUGACCUGGUCUCUGCCCACUUCUCCAAGCUCAUCUCCCAUCGCUCCCGUCCCCAGUCCAACCACAGGCCUCCUUUCUGCUCUUUCUCCCCUGAGGCCCUUUGCACUGCCAUUGCCUCUGCCUGGACAGACCUUCCAGCAAUUCCAAUAACUAGUUCAUUCUUCUUCAAAAUUCAGUCCACGUAUCUCCUCCUCGACCACCUGAUUGAAGCACUGUCCCUCUCACACCAUCACUUGGCCCAUUUAUUUCCUUCUUAGAAAAGAUCACAGUCUGUAAUUAAUAUCAUUUGUUAUCUAUCAUUGUCUUUUUCCCUUCCAGAAUCUAAGAGCCAUGAAGUCCAGGGACCAGAACUUUCCCCAGAGCCUACACAGGGACUGGAUUGUAAUAUACUCCAUAAAGGCUGAUCUUAUGCAGGUGGGCAAUACGAAAGGACACAUGAUUCACAUGGCCCUGGUUCUCAGAUUUGGCAGGUUCCAGGGCGUGGCCUGGACACCAGGAGUUUUAAAUGCUCCCGGGUGGUUUGAAUGGACACUGAGGUGGAGGACCACUGAAGUACAGCAACUGUGAAUGAAGAGCUGCUCUAGAACAACAUUUGUGUCUACACUCCUGAGGAUACCUAGCAUUCAGGGCUGAAAUACCCAGGUGAUAACCAACCCCCGAGGGGCGGCCCCUGUUGUAAGACAGUGACCUGGGCUGGGGGGCUCGGAGACUGUGACCCGUAAGGAUUCAGGAACAGACUCUGUGCUGUGUAUUUGCUGUUGAGUGUGCUCACUCUCCAAGCCUUGAUAGCUGAGGUUUUGUGACACCGAAGAACCCUCUGAUGAGAAAUCAGAGGACUGACUAGUUGUGGGAAGUUUAUGGCAUGAAAAAGAAAAGCCAUCUCUAGAACAUCUGAUGUUCCAGGUGAAUGUACUCGAGAAGACGAUGGGCUGAGUGCUUCCGGAGUCAAUAUUUCCAAAAGCAGCCGAGGCGGCUCCAUCUGUACGUAAGUGGCUGUAAGAUAGCGGCUGACGGCAGUCUCGGGGAAGCCCAGCUCUCAGGCCACGGAGGCUGUGUCUCUCCGCUUGAGGUGGUGCACGAUGAAAGUCCCCAGGGCCCCCAGGGGGAUGCACAUGGUAGAGGAGGCCACGAGCAGCCCAAUGAUGGCCAGUGCAUACGGGGGGUAGUCCUUGGUCACAAGCUGGCCCUGAAGAAGGAACCUGAGUGUCAGAAGAAAGAACCUCCCGUGCGGAGCCUUCCGAGGGCACCACCCCUCCAGGCCUCAGGCCCUCCAGCGCGAGGAAGAGAGCAUCUGCGGCCGGGCAUCCUUGCACACGGGGCCGACGGGGCCGCCCCAGCUCUGUGUGCAGGUCACUAGUGGCUCUGCUGGGCAGACUAACUCCCCCUGUGCAUACUGUUUGGAGCUAUCUGGAAAAAGCAACCAUGAGAACCCUCCAAGGCUUAUGUUCAAGGCAGCAGCAGGGCACCUAAAUGUAGGGGCGACCUGUCCAGUACAGCAGCCACCAGGCAUAGGUGGCCAUUGAGCACUGGGAAUGUGGCCGGGGAUGCGCAAGAAGUGAAUUUUAAGUAUUGUUUAAAUUUCAGUAGCCACAUGUGGUUAUUAGCUUCUGUGUCCAGCAGCACAGCUCCCACCUCAGGAGAAGUGUUGAUGGACCUCAGGACUUACUUGGAAGAAUGAUGGAUGGUUCCGUAAAUGCAAAACUGAUGAGAAACCAGUUGAGGCCCAAAAGCCACUAAAUGCUACACUACCUUUCCACAAAGGAACCAGAGGACAGCUAAAUCCAGGGAGCAGGUACUUGCUGUCAACCAAAGCACGUAUGGUUUGUAAACCAAAAUGCCAGCCGGAGUGUGGCCGCGGGAACCAGCCCACAGACUUCUGUUGCUUGUCUGUUACUCAUUGUGUUCUGUGUGACGAGUACAGGAAUUGGGAGGAAACAUAAAUGAUUUUAGCAGUUUGACAGCCUAUAAUCCUGUGUCUGCUGAAUCUGAUACAUAUUUGGUGCUUGUAUUUGCUCUACCUUUUUUUUUAAGGAAUUCACUGUUUGUUAAUUGCAUUUUCCAAAAGUAUCAGGCUGCAGGGACUGGAGGAAACACCCUGCUCCUCCACUGCGGGGUGGGAAGCCCUGCUCGGCACCACUGCCAGAACCAGACGCGGUGCAGCGUGGAGUGUGUGGACUGGAGCACGGGGUGCACACUGCACACACACACCAUAUGCUAAGGGGCAGCAUCUUCUACCCACAGGGAAAGAAAUCCAAAUUGGUCAGUUGUAUUACUUUCCUUAAAAAGUAAAUCUUUUUUAUGAGAGUGUGUCUGUGCAAGGACAGCCAAGGCUGACCCUCAGGCCCGGUGCCGUGAUACGGCUGUCCAGGUUGUUAAAACACUGAUGUGCUGCCCUCUGCUGGGUGAGCAGAUGCAGCCCAGCCUCCUGAGUGCCCCUCUCAGUCCCCGGUUCUGUCCUAGCAACUCCAGUGUAAACGCCAGUCCCUGCCCCGCCAGUCCCUGCCCCACCCAGCUCCUCAGGGGCCAUGCCCUCCAGCCUUGCUUGGCCUUGCCUGAGUGGCCUCAGUGGACAGAGGCCACCAGGAAGUUCUGGACGGAAUCUCACUCUCUUCACUGCAGCCCAUGUUGAAAAACUCAGCCCAGCAGCUGGGCUGAGUAUUUUUACAUACCUGGGUGAUGUUUUUACAUACCUGGGAGGCGUCCCAGGCUUGGUACUGCAGGGUCCCUGUGAUGAUGUAGUCACUCAGGUAGAAGACAAAGAGGCUGAUGAUGAGCAGCGGGCUCACACCGCCCCACAUGGCCUUCCAGUACCAGUUCAGAGCGUGUCCAGUCAUAGCCUUAAGGUCGCUUUCGAAUCUGUUUGGAGGUGGGGAGAGAAAGCUUGGAUUAUCCAUGCUGUUGGCGCCAGGCAGUCCAGGCCACACCUCCUCGUCUGCUCAGGAAGAUUCUGUGCUGGGCACCACUGAUGUCUGAACACGACCACUGGGCGCUCUCUGCUUCCUUGUGGGGGUCUUGGGGGCAGGGAGGGAAGAAGGGCUGAGGCCGCCACAGAGGGGGCAAAGCAACCACCCAUAGGCGAGUGGACAUCAGAGGCCAUCCUCCUGGUGCCGGCCUUCAGCUGGAGGCUGCUGCUGUACACCAGAGGGCCUGGCGGGAUGCCCGUGAAGCCAGUCCUCAACACCAGGGGACCGCGAGGGCAGCCCUGCUCCACCCCUCCCACCCUGCUGUCUGUCAGCAACUCUCCUUCCCCCUAGAAACGCCCCCACAGGGGAAUCGCUUUUGUCCCCUGAAACCAGAGCAGGUUUUCUGGGGCAGAGGGAAAACCUGAAGGAAGCAGAAGCACCUUGGCCCUGACCCGUUGGAGCUGGCAUGGAGUGGUGCUUCCCAAGUGUAGCUGCCUGCAGCCCACCAUUGUGAUUCCCAUCGUCUGUGGGCUUUUUAUAAUUGACUCAUUUACCUGAAUUUAGCAAUAGCAUGACAAUAUAUCCGUUUUACCAUGGAUUGGAUAGGCUAAUCAUAUUUUUCUGCCCCCCCCACACACAAAUGAGGAUGGAAAGUAUCUCAGCACUUUGAGAAAUGCUGACCCAGCCGCCUCCCCGUUUCCCAGGGGAGGGGACCGAGGUCCAGGGCUGUGAUGUGACUUGCCUGAGGGCACCCAGGUAGUGGCCGACCCAGGCCCAGCAUCCGGAUUGGUGUCUUACCUCCAGUCCAGGGCCUUUGAAACUGCUCCCCACGGCAGAAAAGGCAGCCAUGGGGGAGGGGAGGGGGCCGGGUGAGACUGUCACAGGGGGAACCACAGCCCCUGCCUCUCCUGGACCCUGCAGCGUGUCCAUCACCACCUGCGCCCCCCCCCCCCCGCUGCAGACCACAAAGACCCACGUGCAUAAUGUGAACACUUGGGACUCUCGAAACUACAUGUGGCAGAAAGUGUUGUGAGGCAUGGCCUUCACGGGUGGGUUUCCUGGGCGGCUGGCGGGGCAGGCCUCCUACCUCCUCAGUCCGUACAGGUAGCACACGGCGGCCGCCUCCACCAGGACAAUGAGCAGCAGGGGCAGCGUGGCGGCGUAGUCAUUGAAGAUGUCGAACCAGUAGUUGCCGGCCUCCAUGGUGAACACCAAGCCGAUGGCACAGCUGACGAGGCACACCAGACCUAGGAGCACAAGACCGCCUGCUCACCCGCCUGAGACCCCGGCCUGCGCACCCAGCUUUCUAUGGGGCCCAAGAGCCAUGGACCCUGAGGAGGCGCUGGCCGUUCAGUUCAUCCUCAUGGGCUGGGGGAGCCGUCGUGGACUGGCCUCUCUGCACGUGUGUGCCACGUGUGUGUGUUGGGCAGCGUGGGGCAAAGGUGUUGCAAGGAGUGUCAGCAGGACUUCCUGCUGUUAAUUCAUGGGGCCGUCCAGUAGUGGGGAAUCAAACUUGGUGGAAAAGAGAAACUUGUAGGCGUUGCUGUCUAGGGGAAUCUCACCCAAUCUAUGGGUCUGGUGACUCUCUUUAUCCCAGCAACUCAGCCACUAAGCUCAUGGGAAGUGAAUCAGGGGAGGAGAUUUGAGCUGCAGGGCACCUCUCACAGGACCCCCUAGAGAGGAUUCACAUCUGACCAGAAGAGAGGAGUAGGGAGGGGAGGAGAAGAAACAAAUGCUUACCCAGCUGCUACUGCGCCCCAGGCACUUGCCAUGCAGUGGAGGCUUUAGCUUCUGGGGCAGGUUAUCAGGAGCCCCCUUCUACAGAGGGGGAAGCCAAGGCUCAGAGAUGUCGGGUAACUUUCCCAACAUUCCACAGCACAGAAAGAAAGUUGGAAUUCAGACACAGGCCCUUCUGUCUCCAGAACCGAAGCUCUGGCUCCAGUCUCUGCUGCCUCCCUUGGGCACCCCACAAAGUAUUAGACUCUAAAGCUCCCACCUGCCCUUUCCAUGGCCACAGCCUACACCACCAGCCAGUGAGCCCCACUGCUGUCCUGAGGCGGACACAAGAACAGGCUCUGUGCGGGAGGGGAGGCUCACAUAAUGCUGGCUCCUGAGGGCAGGGAGGCUAAGCGCUAGAGGGCUCUGGUGGGAGCUGGGUUUGAUGUGGGCUGGGACGAGGGGUUCUGGAUGUGGGGGUGAGGAGUCACGGUUCUCUGGACACUGCCAGGUUGCACUGGAGCAGAUGGGUGGUGGAGUGAAGUGGAGAGGCAGGCCUGGAUAAACAGGCUCUUGCCCUCACAAGGCAAAGGUCUGCCAGCUGCAGAAUGGGUAGAUGAAUUGUGGUGUAUGGUCUUAGGCUGGAUUAUUACACGGACGGGAAAGGGGACGGGGAUGGGGGCGUACUGAUGGGGCAGGAGCAGGGAGGGGCUCUCCGGUGUGAGAAAUGUACGUGUUGUUGUUAUGCUUCAGUCAACACAAAGACAAAAGCAGGUUCUCUGCUGGCCUGGAGAGCUUUGAGGGCCGUGCUGGGGGGUUUGGCCUUUGCGAAGGUUGGGGUGACCACUUCAUUCCCCUGUGAUGUGGAGAACCAGAUGCAUGGGGUGAAUCAUGUGUACCAGGUCCCAGAUUGCCCGAGAGGAGAGAGCCAUGGCAGGACCCCAGUGAGGCUGCUGCGGCCUCUCGCUGAGCCCGCGGCCCCUGAGGAGACUCCUCCCUCUGCUCACCUCCCCGAGCCCCGCCGCCUUCGCUGGCCCACUCACCUGAGAUUGCCUCCUUGGGCAGGUAGCUGGAGAUGACCUUGCUGUCGGUCAGAGGGGUGAGGAUGGCGGCCGUGUUCCCCAGCAUGCUUCCAAUGCCCAGCAUCAGCAGCAUGAAGAAGUAGAGCACCGACCACAGCUGGGACACCUCCAUGUUUUUAAUGGCCUCUGUGUAGACGAUGAAGGCCAGGCCGGUGCCCUGGACGGCCUGCCCACAGGAUGAAGACACCAGUUACACACCCGGGCGACUUAGGACUUCUUCCCCAGGUGCUAAGCUACUUGGGGAACCUGAGAAUCAGCCACGAGAAGCCACAUUCUGAGGUUGGAUCUUCCACCUGCACACCAGCCCACUGAGGGUAAGCUGGGCUGGAUAGAAAUGCGAGCUGUCAGGAGCCUUUAUUUGCAAAGUGUGAGGAGACACCUCAGUCAACUUGGAACACUGAGUUCCUCUCUCCUGCCCCAACUCACAUCAUUAUGGAUAAAAUAUAGUAAAAUAAUGGUUGCAUAA
Lagenorhynchus albirostris (white-beaked dolphin) is the source of this 8225-nucleotide long non-coding RNA. RefSeq lists it as uncharacterized. NCBI's taxonomy places the organism in Eukaryota, Metazoa, Chordata, Mammalia, Artiodactyla, Delphinidae. The transcript is spliced from 4 exons. The record is from RefSeq and is a predicted model, not a curated record.